UACGGAGGGUGCGAGCGUUGUUCGGAAUUAUUGGGCGUAAAGCGCGCGCAGGCGGCUCUGCAAGUCCAGGGGUGAAAUGCCGGGGCUCAACUCCGUGCAUGCCCCGGAUACUGCGGAGCUGGAGACACGUAGAGGCAAGCGGAAUUCCGGGUGUAGCGGUGGAAUGCGUAGAGAUCCGGAAGAACACCGGAGGCGAAGGCGGCUUGCUGGGCGUGAUCUGACGCUGAGGCGCGAAAGCGUGGGGAGCGAACAGG
This 254-nucleotide ribosomal RNA is filed under the name uncultured bacterium. Its description in RNAcentral is "partial 16S ribosomal RNA". It matches the Rfam family "Bacterial small subunit ribosomal RNA", at positions 524 to 776 of the family's 1533-position model. The record is from RNAcentral.